GAUGAAGAACGUAGCGAAAUGCGAUACGUAAUGUGAAUUGCAGAAUUCAGUGAAUCAUCGAGUCUUUGAACGCACAUUGCGCCCCCUGGUAUUCCGGGGGGCAUGCCUGUCCGAGCGUCAUUGCUGCCCUCAAGCACGGCUUGUGUGUUGGGCCUCCGCCCCCCGGCUCCCGGGGGGCGGUCCCGAAAGGCAGCGGCGGCACCGCGUCCGGUCCUCGAGCGUAUGGGGCUUCGUCACCCGCUCCGUAGGCCCGGCCGGCGCCCGCCGGCGACCCCCCUCAAUCUUUCCAGGUUGACCUCGGAUCAGGUAGGGAUACCCGCUGAACUUAAGCAUAUCAAUAAGCGGAGGA
RNAcentral lists this unclassified non-coding RNA (349 nucleotides) under soil metagenome. RNAcentral describes it as "partial contains 5.8S ribosomal RNA, internal transcribed spacer 2, and large subunit ribosomal RNA". The stretch from base 1 to 120 matches the Rfam family "5.8S ribosomal RNA", at positions 35 to 154 of the family's 154-position model. The record is from RNAcentral.